This 376-nucleotide ribosomal RNA is filed under the name uncultured bacterium. RNAcentral describes it as "bacterial SSU rRNA". It matches the Rfam family "Bacterial small subunit ribosomal RNA", at positions 524 to 898 of the family's 1533-position model. The record is from RNAcentral.
UACAGGGGGGGCAAGCGUUGUUCGGAAUUACUGGGCGUAAAGGGUCUGUAGGUGGCCAACUAAGUCAUACGUGAAAUCCCUCAGCUUAACUGGGGAACUGCGCCUGAUACUGGUUGGCUUGAGUGCAGGAGAGGAACGCGGAAUUCCAGGUGUAGCGGUGAAAUGCGUAGAUAUCUGGAGGAACACCGGUGGCGAAGGCGGCGUUCUGGACUGCAACUGACACUGAGAGACGAAAGCCAGGGGAGCAAACGGGAUUAGAUACCCCGGUAGUCCUGGCCCUAAACGAUGAAUGCUUGGUGUGGCGGGUAUCGAUCCCUGCCGUGCCGAAGUUAACGCGAUAAGCAUUCCGCCUGGGGAGUACGGUCGCAAGGCUGAA